UACAGAGGGUGCGAGCGUUAAUCGGAGUUACUGGGCGUAAAGGGCGCGUAGGCGGAUGAUUAAGUCAGUUGUGAAAGCCCAGGGCUCAACCUUGGAACUGCAAUUGAUACUGGUCAUCUAGAGUCGAAGAGAGGGAAGCGGAAUUUCCGGUGUAGCGGUGAAAUGCGUAGAUAUCGGAAGGAACACCCGUGGCGAAGGCGGCUUCCUGGCUUCAGACUGACGCUGAGGCGCGAAAGCGUGGGGAGCGAAC
This 250-nucleotide ribosomal RNA is filed under the name uncultured bacterium. RNAcentral's name for it is "partial 16S ribosomal RNA". It matches the Rfam family "Bacterial small subunit ribosomal RNA", at positions 524 to 773 of the family's 1533-position model. The record is from RNAcentral.